GCGAGGGAAGGAAGAGAAAACCUUCAGCGAGGGUAGUCGAAAAGAAGAGUCCUGCGGUAGAAAGCCACUCUAGGAGUAGGAGAGACACAGCCUUCACUGAAUGGCCAGAUCUCCAUGGAAGCAAAAUUGAAACUUGGUAUGACUAUUUGGACAUUUCAAGGAAAGAAAGUACCUUCUGCUUAAAUCAUUUGAGAAAUAGUAGCCAAAAUAACUCAUUCACAUCAGUAGCUAAUUCUUCCAUCACUUAAUGCUGGCACUGAUCCUAGUUAUUUGUAUUAAGUAGCUCACCACGUCAUAGGAUUUGUUUACAUAGACAGAUGACAGGUUUGCCUUAGUGUUAAGUGCCAACAUUUAAUAAACAACAACAACAAAAGACUUUUCCUGACACAGGCAGACCUAUCUACUCAAACUUCUGGAUUACUUUAAAGGUGCUAUUGUGAGGCAGGAGUUUUCAGUACCUUCAGGAGACAUUUAUCAUUUCAAACCCAAACACAUUUAAUGGUUACGUUAGUCCUCAUUUUGUUUGUUGCCAUUGUAGAACUGUUGCUGGGUACUCAUUCUGAUAGAAAUAACAAUAGUUUUUGAAAGCAGAAGCAUUGUUGUUAGCAGAACAACACACGCAUAUAAACACCCCAAAUAAACAUUUUUAGCUAUUUCCUUAUAGUGCUGAAAGUUAUUUGGUUAAAUUUAGCAUUGCCCAGAACCUCCAAUAAGAUUGUCUGUGAUUGGCAUGCAUGCAAAUUUAUAAAGCCAAGGUUAUAUUAAU
RNAcentral lists this long non-coding RNA (766 nucleotides) under Cervus hanglu yarkandensis (Yarkand deer). Its description in RNAcentral is "lncRNA (ENSCHYG00000016878.1)". Lineage: Eukaryota; Metazoa; Chordata; Mammalia; Artiodactyla; Cervidae. The record is from RNAcentral.